Long non-coding RNA from Cyprinus carpio carpio, 1621 nucleotides. NCBI's taxonomy places the organism in Eukaryota, Metazoa, Chordata, Actinopteri, Cypriniformes, Cyprinidae. The record is from Ensembl.
AUGGAAAUGAAUGUAAAAUGGGUUGGCUGGCCAAAACAGAAGCAAACUGAUGGCACGAUAAAUCCAAACACCUCAGAUUACACCUCUGCUGUCCACAUGUCCUACACUGGAGGAUUGUUCAUUUUGAGAUCCACAACCAAAAUUCGUAACAAGACGUUUAAGGCAAACACAUCUGUUGAAUCUGGACACCUGCAGCGCUGGAGAAUGUUUCUGUCUACGGCCCAGAUGAGGAAAGUCUCCAAGCCACAACAUGACAUCCAUCUCAAGAUCUUUAAUGAGGAUGUCUACCACUGGAGACGCUGGAUUCAUGUGAGGCCCACACUGGACAAGUCACAGAAGAUGAAAGCGGAAGAAGCCAGCGGUGAACCCAGGACUGACCUCUCACAUGUGCAGAAUGAGGGAAAGCUUUGUUUCAGAUUGUCUUAAAAUAGGAACUAGUUCCUCAUUUUUCUCUUGGAGUAUUCAGAAUAUAACAGUCAACAGUUUCUGGUGGGAAACAAAUUUUGCCGGCCCUACGAAACCGAGAAUCGUCUCACGUCUUUGGUUGAUUUAAUACAGCGUUGAUUCGGCUCAUCACUUCACAUUUUGCUUUGAUUACACAACAAAAGGACAGAAAUAAGGUGUUAAAACAUGAAAGCACCCGAAUUUUGUGGCACAAAAAAGUAGGGUAGGAUGAGAGAGAGAAGAAAUGGCAGGUAAUGCAAUAUUCAUGUGCACAAGGCAGAUUUCCCUUUAGUUCUCAUGAUUAGAGGAGAGAAAUCUUCACCCGGCCCGUCUUCUCAGAGGAUGGAUGCAUUAAUGGCAAGUUGUUAUUUUUUGGUACUUUCAGAGAAGAGAGAAGAUGUGGCUUCAUCAAGGAGAUGCACUUCUCCUUCCCCUGCUCUUUGAUGUAGUGAAAAGACGUCCAUGGUUAACCCUGAGUGUGCAGCGCCUGAGUAUUUCUCUUUCAAGCCUGAGAUGAUGAAAGUGAUAGUGCCGUGGUGGCGCUGUAUCAGGGGGAGUCCAGCUUCUCUCGAAAAAGAGACGUGACCCUGAUUGAAAUGAGGAACAUAUUUGAUCUUGAAAUGAAGUGCUUCCUUGCUUUGCACUAAUGCACUCAUCUUUGAUCAUCAAACGUAAAUGAUAUUACCACAUUGCCUUUAAAGCUUACUGAACGACACGCCAGCAUAUUGUCCAGAGAAUAUUGGAGUCAUUGCUGGAAGGAUGUUCAUUGUGUAGGAUAUUUCCAGAUGAGAUGAGCACCAGUGUAUUUGAAAUAGAGCAAACUAAUGUUUUGUUUUUUGUUUUCAAAGUUGUAUAUAAAGAUUAAUGGAAUAUGCUUUAAAAAUAUAUAUUUCACUCUUUCUAUAUCAAAAUUUCAUGUUUAAUGUACUGUGUGCUAGUGAAAUUUACUAGCAAUUUCAGUCUUAAGACAAUCAGAUUAUAUUUAGAUAUAUAUAAAUAAGGAAAUAUAAGUAACUAUAACUUUAUUUGUGUGUGUGUGUGUGUAUGUGUGUGUAUAUAUAUGUAUAUGCAUGAACAUUUAAAAAUAAAUCCAUCAAUUGGUGAAUAAUACAUUUCUUUUUCAUUUUUUUGUUUUUUUGUUUAUUUUCAGAUCUACUUUAAAUAUAUAGAUAUACAG